RNAcentral lists this ribosomal RNA (484 nucleotides) under uncultured bacterium. RNAcentral's name for it is "partial 16S ribosomal RNA". It matches the Rfam family "Bacterial small subunit ribosomal RNA", at positions 30 to 507 of the family's 1533-position model. The record is from RNAcentral.
AUUGAACGCUGGCGGCAGGCCUAACACAUGCAAGUCGAGCGGAUGAAGGGAGCUUGCUCCUGGAUUCAGCGGCGGACGGGUGAGUAAUGCCUAGGAAUCUGCCAGGUAGUGGGGGAUAACGUCCGGAAACGGGCGCUAAUACCGCAUACGUCCUGAUGGAGAAAGUGGGGGAGCUUCGGAUUUCAAGCUAGCAGAUGAGCCUAGGUCGGAUUAGCUAGUUGGUGGGGUAAAGGCCUACCAAGGCGACGAUCCGUAACUGGUCUGAGAGGAUGAUCAGUCACACUGGAACUGAGACACGGUCCAGACUCCUACGGGAGGCAGCAGUGGGGAAUAUUGGACAAUGGGCGAAAGCCUGAUCCAGCCAUGCCGCGUGUGUGAAGAAGGUCUUCGGAUUGUAAAGCACUUUAAGUUGGGAGGAAGGGCAGUAAGUUAAUACCUUGCUGUUUUGACGUUACCAACAGAAUAAGCACCGGCUAACUUCGUG